This 775-nucleotide ribosomal RNA is filed under the name uncultured Neocallimastigales. RNAcentral describes it as "partial large subunit ribosomal RNA". It matches the Rfam family "Eukaryotic large subunit ribosomal RNA", at positions 26 to 614 of the family's 3401-position model. The record is from RNAcentral. Lineage: Eukaryota; Fungi; Neocallimastigomycota; Neocallimastigomycetes; Neocallimastigales.
CGCAUCUGUGCAUGCAGCAUAUCAAUAAGCGGAGGAAAAGAAACUAACAAGGAUUCCCCUAGUAACGGCGAGUGAAGCGGGAAGAGCUCAAAUUUGAAAUCUUAAAGGGUUUCCCUUUACGAAUUGUAGUUUAAAGAAGUGUUUUCUGUUGAGGAUUUUGGUAAAAGUUCUUUGGAAUAGGACAUCAUAGAGGGUGAGAAUCCCGUAUUUGACCUUUACUUUCAACUUUGUGAUACACUUUCAAAGAGUCGGAUUGUUUGGGAAUGCAGUCCAAAAUGGGUGGUAAAUUUCAUCUAAAGCUAAAUAUUGGCGAGAGACCGAUAGCGAACAAGUACCGUGAGGGAAAGAUGAAAAGAACUUUGAAAAGAGAGUUAAACAGUACGUGAAAUUGUCAAAAGGGAAGCGUUUGACACCAGUGUUGUUUUUCUGAAAAUCAAUUAAAGAACUGUUUAUGCUAAGCUGUUUAGACUUUAUCAGCUAACUGUUUAGUUUUGAGCUUUUCUUUAAUGCACUUUUCAGUUAACAAGUCAACAUCAAUUUCUUUUGCUGUAAAAAAGCUUGAGGAAGGUGGCUUGAGAUUCGUCUUAAGUGUUUAUAGCCUCUUGCCUAUGCAGUCGGAGAGAUUGAGGUCUGCAGCGUAGAUCCUUCGGGGCUAAAUGCAUUUGUGCUAAGUUAUAGCAUUUUAUAGACAACUUGUUGACUAUGAUUUGUCUUGUAGCUUACUCGCUUAUGUUAUUUUACCUACGCUUAGGAUGUUGAGUCAUCACACAUCUCU